UUAGGCGUGGGGUUAUUCAAAGAGUUUGGCGAGUCUCUAUCCGCAUGAGAGAGUGAAUUAAUAUCUGUGGCUACAUGGGUUCCUUUGAAAGCACGGAGGAGGGAUACAUGAAAUACCGGGUGUACUCGCGAGGUGGUUGGUAAACAGAGUUCGUAGGCCACAGCGCCGAUGCGGUGGCGCACUUGAUUAAGCCCCGAGUAACGAGGGGCGAGCUUCGAACAUGUACGAAGCUCCACCGAUUGUUGGCGGUGAGGUUGAAGACGUACCCAUACCCAGUCAUCGGGGUUAAAAGAGCGUUCAGAUCAGUGGCGGUUGGCCUGGUCGCACAUUCGUUGACAGGCCUGAUGAAGGUUUUGUUUGAGGGCGUGGAGAACCAACGUGUGUUGGUGCAAUAAAUCAACAACGGUGGUGCCUGAGCGUGGACUGUGCAACAGAUCUAGGGCGGUGGGAGGUUGUCUUCCGUACAGAGCAUGGAACGGUGAGGUUCCAAUGGCAGAGUGAUAAGUCGUAUUGUGACAAAGUUACGCUAGAUGAAGAUAUUGGAACCAAGUGUGAGGAUGUUCGCCUGCAAAGCAUCGUAGGUAAUCUUCCAAACUUCGAUUAAGAGCUUCUGUCUGUCCAUCAGUUUGCGGAUGAUAAGCAGAACUGAACUUUAAUGUUGUGCCUUGUGCCUUGAAUAGGUGUUUCCAGAACGUGCUGAUAAAUAGUGGAUCUCGGUCUGAGACAAUGGUUUUUGGCAGCCCAUGCAGACGACAAAUCUCAACCGAGAAUCGCUUGGCAAGUUGUUGAGCAUUGAACUGUUUGGGAAGUGCCACAAAGUGAGCAUACUUCGUGAGGCGAUCACAUAUGGCCCAUAUCACCGAGUGACCUAUAGAGGCGGGUAAGUGUGUUAUAAAAUCCAUUGAUAAAUCUUUCCACACUUGAUCUGGUAAUGGGAAGGGUUGGAGUAAUCCAUGGGGUUUUGUUGGCAAAUACUUGUUACGCUGACAUGUGGUGCAUUGUUGAAUGUAGUUCUUGACAUCUCUAGUCCACCCCGGCCAGUAGAAGGCAACAGCAAUGCGAGCAAGGGUGGGUUUAAUACCGGAAUGACCCGCUGUGGGCGAUUCAUGUAGUUCUAGGAGGAUGCGGUUUCUGAAAUUGUUGGUAUCUAGAAUAAACACUUGGUGCCGAAAGAAGAGCAGACCAUGACGGACUGAGAAGAUGUUGGGUCCUUGUGUAUCUUUAGUGCAAGCGUCUACUAAUCUUGUUCCUUCUAUGGUGGAAUAAAAUUGCUGUAACUCUUCAAACAACAAUGGUAUUGGCGACGAGAGUGCAAGCAACAUUGAAGGUGGAUCUGUGUCUUGGCGUGAGAGAGCAUCUACAACCACAUUUUGCUUGCCAGGUCGGUAUAGAAUUUGGAAAUCAUAUCCCUGUAACUUUGAUGUCCAUCUUUGUUGUUCUGGAGUUUGUAUUGUUUGUGACUGAAGUGUAUUUAAACUUUUUUGAUCUGUGAUUAUUUUGAAGUGUUGCCCCAACAAGUACUGACGCCAUUUUUUUACUGCUUCUGUGAUUGCAUACAUUUCUCGGACAUACACUGAUGAAGCUUGGAGCCUUGGACACAUUUUCUUGCUGAAGAAGGCUAGUGGGUUCCCCUUUUGGCUGACCUCCACGACUACUGCAGAUGCGUCUAUUUCCACAACAAAAGGCAAGGAAAAAUAUGGUAGGUGUAGUGUAGGAACUUGAGAUAUUUGUAAUUUUAAUUUUGUAAAGGCCUCCUGAGCUGAGACACUCCAUGUAAACUUUUGAUUAUGCAACAAAUCGGUGAGAGGAGCGGCGAGAGUGGCGUAGUGAUAAACAAACUUCCUAUAAAAUCCUGUGAGGCUGAGAAAACCACGUAAUUCCGUGAGUGAACGUGGUUGCGGCCAAUUGUGUAUGGCAAUCACCUUUUCUGGAUCAGGGGCUACUCCUUUAGCUGAAAUGAUAUGGCCCAAAUAAUUUACUUGAGAAGUGGCAAAACUGCACUUAGAUAACUUAGCAAAAAAUUUCUUAGUAUGCAAAACUUCUAAGAUAAUCUUUAAGUGCACAAUAUGUUCCUGCAAAUUGGGACUAUAAAUCAAAAUAUCAUUAAAGAAAACAAUGACAAACCGCCGUAAAUAAGGUCUGAGAAGGUCAUUCAUGGCUGCCUGAAAAGUGGAGGGUGCAUUAGUCAAUCCGAAAGGCAUGACUAAAAAUUCGUAAUGUCCAUCAAUGGUUCUAAAAGCUGAUUUAUGAGUGUCUUGAGGAAUAAGUCGAAUUUGAUGAUACCCAGAGUAUAAAUCAAUCUUAGUGAAAACUGUAGUUGAGCCUAGUUCAUCGAGCAAUUCAUCGAUGGUAGGGAUGGGAAAGCGGUCAUGGAUGGUGGCUGCAUUUAAGGCUCUGUAGUCCACACAAAAGCGCCAACUACCAUCUUUUUUUUAUGAGGAGGACGGGGGAAGAACGGGCUUGUGCUGGGUUUAAUGAUACCCUCUUGAAGCAUCUCAGAGAUGAGUUGGGUUAUAAUUUCCUUGUGGGAGUAGGGAUAACGAUAUGGUUUAACAUUAAUGGGUGGGGUAUGAGGCAAAAGGGGUAUGUGGUGGUCAUGUGGUCUAGGUGGUGGUAAACCUUUGGGUUUUUGAAAGAUUGUUUUGUUUUGUAGGUCAGAGUCCAAGGUCACUGAUGGAAUCGGGUUGUUGUCUAUUGAAAGCAGGUGAAGGGAUGCAAUGGAAUGGGUGGAUAGGUACUGGCAAAAUUGGUGGUAAGUGGUUGAAGUUGGGGUAGAUGGAGUGGCAGCUUGUAAGGUGAUUUGUUUGUUCUGGUGAGUGAAAGCAAUGCUGGGUACAGAGAAAUAUGCCUGAAUAGGCCCUAGAGUGCGCAACCAUUCAAUACCAAAACUACAUCUGCUCCUUCAAUAGGUAAUAGGUAAAAAGGAAUGGUGAAUGUAGAAGUUUGAAGAGAGAUGUCCACUAAGGGGCAUAUCCCUUGGCAUUGUAUGAAGGCCCUGUUUCCUACCAUCACUGACAAUGGGGGGCUUGGUGUAAUGGGUUUGGGGUCACGAAGUUUGUCCUCAAUGAGUUUGGCUAGACCAAUAGCUUGGGAAAAAGAAUAUGGGUUGAGGAUGGAGAGUUCUCUGCGGAUUUCAGGUUGGAGUCCCGAAAUAAAGCAAUUAAGUAUAAUAUCAGGGGUGAGUCCAACUACGUAGUUACAUAAUUUCUCAAAACGGGAUUGAUAAUCUGUUACCGUGGUGGUUUGCUGGAGUUUGAAUAAUUAUGCUUGAUGGUUAGUGUAGGUGGACGGGGGGUUGCUAUUAUAUUGGGUGCUGCCAGGGGGUUGAUUUGUGUUUCCAUCGGUGUGUGUGGAGGGAAUGUGAUUCAUGAGAAAAGUGAGGGUGGAUUGAACCGAAUCAUUAUGUGUCUCCAUGGCUGCCUGGCAGGUGUGAUUAUCGUCCAUCUGAACCUGAAUACAUGACAGACGUUCUUGAAUGGAUUGUAGAAUUUCUUCUAGGUCUUUGGUUUGGGGUUUAGAAGGAGGCAUUGGGAAGGUCAAUGAAAGCACCAAUUGAUAGGCUCUUUCUACGGCUACACUAAGAUAAUUGAUACUAGGGUAACAUCAAAAUUCUCCUCCUCUAAUUACUGUUAAAAACUGACCUAAAUAGAAGUUGUAUGGGCCAAACUGGCCUUACAUUGUUCCCCUAAACUUUCUAAUAACACCUACAUAAUGUAGUCUUUCAUCCAUUUGGGCUUAACAAUCUGACGUUUGGGCCUAUUAUUGUUGGGCCUUGUUGUAUCAUUUUUCCAUCUUCAAUGGACUAACAACAACAUUGUAAGAGGAGAAGAUGACGGGAAAACGUUGUGAAGACCGUUCGAACCUAAACCAUUAGAGGAAAUCAUUCUCAUAGUGCAUAUGGUGAAAACAUAUCAAAUAUAUUAUUAAUUAUGAUGCUGGGAAUAAUGAAUGUUCUUGGGUCUUUACAUUUUCUAUGAACUUCAGCCAUUGGUUUCCAAUGAGUGAAAAUACAUUUCUCCCCAUGUUAAUUCUUUCAUUUCCUGUUAGACGCCUUCUAUGUGUGCACAUAUCCAUUAAAAGUUGGCAUAUUUUGUAAUUUGUUUAAUGGAAUCAAGCAAUGGUAUAUUGACAUCUACUUUUCUGAAGGUCUCCAAUUUCUUAUUCUUUUGUACAACUCUUUGUGGAAAAGGAACAUGAACAUAUGGAUGUUCAACACUUGUAGAUGGUUGAGCUCUUCUGCUAGAAGGGCUAUAGAAUUGAAGUUGUUCAAAGGUAUGGAAAUAACUCUCUUUGGGAAUGGAAGAGAGGUUUCACGGUUUUAUGGGAUCGUCUAAAGCUCUAUCAGACUAUCUGAUCAUAUGGUCUAGUGAUACAAUCCAAUUAGACAAGGAGAUAACCAAGGACACAACAAACACUUCACAAUUAAAUCAGUCAUCUAAGCAUUCAAGACAAGGCCCUAUCAAACUUCAGAAGGACCUCAACAGAAGAAGAACUAGACAUAAGUCAGACCAACAGAUGUUCUUCCUUCUAGUCUUUUAACAAGACAAGUUUAUGUAAAAUAAAUUGGGUUCACUUUAGGGGUGCCAAAUAGAAGAAUAUUGGGCCUGUGCCAAACUCACCAAAAAAAACCUAGCUUCUAGAAACUAUUUCCAAACCGCCCCUUAACCUAGUUUCUAAAAGAUGUAGGCUAGCUUGGGAGGCACUCCACUUUGACCUACCUUCUAGAAGGUUUUUCACAAAUGACACCCCUACCCCUCUAUCUUGCUCUCCAAGACACUCUCUUCUAUAAAUAGAGUGUCUUACCUCAUGUAUUUCAUACAUUGAAUUUUGAAUAGAAAAGAAACUUUGUCAAAGUGUUUAGUGAGUUGAGUCUCCUAGAAUUUGGGUCUUAUCUUGAGUGUUUUACACUUCAAGUGGCGGCUCUUCACCACUAAUCUUGGAUUCUCCUCCCCUUCCAAGUGGCGUGACCAAACCUUCAUCAUCCUAAGCUUCUCUUUCCUUUAAUCUUUUUUAUUUUUCCAUUCCUUUAUGUUCUUGUGUUCAUCUUUUUCUAUUUGGUUUCCAUCUUCUUUCUUUCCCUUAUAUGUUCUUUAAUUUCGCACCUAUUCAUCAUAAACACCAUAUAAUUGUAUUUUCUCUUUGCCCUCUAGAAGUGAACCUUCACACUUAACCACUUGAUUAAGUUCAUGUCCAGUGGGAAUCUUUUUUGGGUUUUUCACCAUAUUCUGCUUAAAAUCAA
This 5239-nucleotide long non-coding RNA is filed under the name Phaseolus vulgaris (common bean). Its description in RNAcentral is "long non-coding RNA (PVUL_LNC001734)". The record is from RNAcentral. Lineage: Eukaryota; Viridiplantae; Streptophyta; Magnoliopsida; Fabales; Fabaceae.